Molecule: ribosomal RNA, 252 nt
Filed under: uncultured bacterium
Lineage: Bacteria
Description: partial 16S ribosomal RNA
Rfam family: Bacterial small subunit ribosomal RNA
Source: RNAcentral
ACGGAGGGUGCGAGCGUUGUUCGGAAUUACUGGGCGUAAAGCGCGUGUAGGCGGUUUGGCAAGUCAGAUGUGAAAGCCCUGGGCUUAACCCAGGAAGUGCAUUUGAAACUGCUUUACUAGAGUAUGGGAGAGGAGAGUGGAAUUCCCAGUGUAGAGGUGAAAUUCGUAGAUAUUGGGAGGAACACCCGUGGCGAAGGCGACUCUCUGGACCAAUACUGACGCUGAGACGCGAAAGCGUGGGGAGCAAACAGG